UGCAAGUCGAACGGUGAAGCCAAGCUUGCUUGGUGGAUCAGUGGCGAACGGGUGAGUAACACGUGAGCAACCUGCCCUGGACUCUGGGAUAAGCGCUGGAAACGGCGUCUAAUACUGGAUAUGAGCUCCUUCCGCAUGGUGGGGGUUGGAAAGAUUUUUCGGUCUGGGAUGGGCUCGCGGCCUAUCAGCUUGUUGGUGAGGUAAUGGCUCACCAAGGCGUCGACGGGUAGCCGGCCUGAGAGGGUGACCGGCCACACUGGGACUGAGACACGGCCCAGACUCCUACGGGAGGCAGCAGUGGGGAAUAUUGCACAAUGGGCGGAAGCCUGAUGCAGCAACGCCGCGUGAGGGAUGACGGCCUUCGGGUUGUAAACCUCUUUUAGCAGGGAAGAAGCGAGAGUGACGGUACCUGCAGAAAAAGCGCCGGCUAACUACGUGCCAGCAGCCGCGGUAAUACGUAGGGCGCAAGCGUUAUCCGGAAUUAUUGGGCGUAAAGAGCUCGUAGGCGGUUUGUCGCGUCUGCUGUGAAAUCCCGAGGCUCAACCUCGGGCCUGCAGUGGGUACGGGCAGACUAGAGUGCGGUAGGGGAGAUUGGAAUUCCUGGUGUAGCGGUGGAAUGCGCAGAUAUCAGGAGGAACACCGAUGGCGAAGGCAGAUCUCUGGGCCGUAACUGACGCUGAGGAGCGAAAGGGUGGGGAGCAAACAGGCUUAGAUACCCUGGUAGUCCACCCCGUAAACGUUGGGAACUAGUUGUGGGGACCAUUCCACGGUUUCCGUGACGCAGCUAACGCAUUAAGUUCCCCGCCUGGGGAGUACGGCCGCAAGGCUAAAACUCAAAGGAAUUGACGGGGACCCGCACAAGCGGCGGAGCAUGCGGAUUAAUUCGAUGCAACGCGAAGAACCUUACCAAGGCUUGACAUACACC
RNAcentral lists this ribosomal RNA (925 nucleotides) under bacterium. Its description in RNAcentral is "bacterial SSU rRNA". It matches the Rfam family "Bacterial small subunit ribosomal RNA", at positions 56 to 992 of the family's 1533-position model. The record is from RNAcentral.